Molecule: unclassified non-coding RNA, 294 nt
Filed under: uncultured Schizothecium
Lineage: Eukaryota; Fungi; Ascomycota; Sordariomycetes; Sordariales; Lasiosphaeriaceae
Description: partial contains 5.8S ribosomal RNA, internal transcribed spacer 2, and large subunit ribosomal RNA
Rfam family: 5.8S ribosomal RNA (bases 1-102)
Source: RNAcentral
AUGCGAUACGUAAUGUGAAUUGCAGAUUUCAGUGAAUCAUCGAAUCUUUGAACGCACAUUGCGCCCGCUAGUAUUCUGGCGGGCAUGCCUGUUCGAGCGUCAUUUCAACCAUCAAGCCCCCGGCUUGCGUUGGAGCCCUGCGGCUGCCGCAGGCUCCCAAAUCCAGUGGCGGGCUCGUCGUCGUACCGAGUGCAGUAAACAUCCUCGCUCAGGGAACGCGUCGGGUUCUUGCCGUGAAACCCCCCCCACAUCAAGGUUGACCUCGGAUCAGGUAGGAAUACCCGCUGAACUUAA